GAUGAACGCUGGCGGCGUGCCUAAUACAUGCAAGUCGAGCGAACGGACGAGGAGCUUGCUUUUCUGAUGUUAGCGGCGGACGGGUGAGUAACACGUGGAUAACCUACCUAUAAGACUGGGAUAACUUCGGGAAACCGGAGCUAAUACCGGAUAAUAUUUUGAACCGCAUGGUUCAAAAGUGAAAGACGGUCUUGCUGUCACUUAUAGAUGGAUCCGCGCUGCAUUAGCUAGUUGGUAAGGUAACGGCUUACCAAGGCAACGAUGCAUAGCCGACCUGAGAGGGUGAUCGGCCACACUGGAACUGAGACACGGUCCAGACUCCUACGGGAGGCAGCAGUGGGGAAUCUUCCGCAAUGGGCGAAAGCCUGACGGAGCAACGCCGCGUGAGUGAUGAAGGUCUUCGGAUCGUAAAACUCUGUUAUUAGGGAAGAACAUAUGUGUAAGUAACUGUGCACAUCUUGACGGUACCUAAUCAGAAAGCCACGGCUAACUACGUG
Molecule: ribosomal RNA, 497 nt
Filed under: uncultured bacterium
Lineage: Bacteria
Description: partial 16S ribosomal RNA
Rfam family: Bacterial small subunit ribosomal RNA
Source: RNAcentral